GAUGAAGAACGUAGCGAAAUGCGAAAAGUAAUGUGAAUUGCAGAAUUCAGUGAAUCAUCGAAUCUUUGAACGCACAUUGCGCCCGCCAGUAUUCUGGCGGGCAUGCCUGUCUGAGCGUCAUUUCAACCCUCACGCCCCUAGGGCGUGGUGUUGGGGAUCGGCCAAGGCCCGCAAGGGACGGCCGGCCCCUAAAUCUAGUGGCGGACCCAUCGUGGCCUCCCCUGCGAAGUAGUAAUAUAUUCCGCAUCGGAUAGCGAUGAGCCCCUGCCGUUAAACCCCCAACUCUUUCAAGGUUGACCUCAGAUCAGGUAGGAAUACCCGCUGAACUUAAGCAUAUCAAAAGCGGAGGA
RNAcentral lists this unclassified non-coding RNA (350 nucleotides) under soil metagenome. RNAcentral's name for it is "partial contains 5.8S ribosomal RNA, internal transcribed spacer 2, and large subunit ribosomal RNA". The stretch from base 1 to 120 matches the Rfam family "5.8S ribosomal RNA", at positions 35 to 154 of the family's 154-position model. The record is from RNAcentral.